GCGUUGUCCGGAUUUAUUGGGCGUAAAGAGCGUGUAGGCGGCCGGAUAAGUCUGACGUGAAAUCUGGAGGCUCAACCUCCAGCUGUCGUUGGAAACUAUUCGGCUAGAGUCCGGAAGAGGAGAGUGGAAUUCCCGGUGUAGCGGUGAAAUGCGCAGAUAUCGGGAAGAACACCUAUGGCGAAGGCAGCUCUCUGGGACGGUACUGACGCUGAGACGCGAAAGCGUG
RNAcentral lists this ribosomal RNA (226 nucleotides) under uncultured bacterium. RNAcentral's name for it is "partial 16S ribosomal RNA". It matches the Rfam family "Bacterial small subunit ribosomal RNA", at positions 538 to 763 of the family's 1533-position model. The record is from RNAcentral.